This 254-nucleotide ribosomal RNA is filed under the name uncultured bacterium. Its description in RNAcentral is "partial 16S ribosomal RNA". It matches the Rfam family "Bacterial small subunit ribosomal RNA", at positions 524 to 777 of the family's 1533-position model. The record is from RNAcentral.
GACAGAGGAUGCAAGCGUUAUCCGGAAUGAUUGGGCGUAAAGCGUCUGUAGGUGGCUUUUUAAGUCCGCCGUCAAAUCCCAGGGCUCAACCCUGGACAGGCGGUGGAAACUACCAAGCUGGAGUACGGUAGGGGCAGAGGGAAUUUCCAGUGGAGCGGUGAAAUGCGUAGAGAUUGGAAAGAACACCGAUGGCGAAGGCACUUUACUGGGCUAUUACUAACACUGAGAGACGAAAGCUAGGGUAGCGAAUGGGA